AAUUACACCAACAUAAGGUUUCACGGAUUAAUGAAAGGUUUCUCUCUCUUAUCUCUCUAAAAAUCUUUUAGAGAAAGAGACCACUUCCCGUCCGACAUCCUCCGGCUAAGAUAGCGGUAGUUGGUCGGCUUGCUUCUGGCAACGUAUGGUUCCUUACCAACGUCAGCUAGCUUUGUCUCCGGCAUAGGUGGCUUCCAUAGCAUCUGUGGUCGGCUUUGUCUCCAGCAUGGGUGGUUCCUUUAACAUCCUUGGUCGGCUUAGCUUCCGGCAUAGGUUGGCUUCCACAGUGACUAUGGCUGGCUUUGUUUUAGCUCUUUCGCCGUCCAUCUCUCUGGUCUUUCGUUUAGUUUCUUAGAUUUGAAACUGUUUGAAGAAAGCAAGCAGCCUAUAUUUGGUGAAUUAAAAAAUUCCUUGAAGGUUGAAAAGCUGCUAAUUGAAGAUGAAGUUAAAGAAGAUUUUCAGUUUUGCAUUAGUGGAAUCUUAAUCUCAUUAAGCUAAAAUUGGAAUUUUGCCUUAUUCUUUGGGCAAAGAUUGAGAUCGAUCGACAUAAGAAUAUUUCCGGCGAUUUCGGCCGGACUGGAAGCUUUCCGGUGACUUAACUGCCGGUGAUCGAAGAUUCUAACCUCUUCCACUUCCCACGUGUCUUCCAAUUUGUUUUGCAAUAGCCAUGUGUCUUUUGUGCUGUAUCCAAGGUUUCCUUCCAUCUAGGUUUCCUUACUGGGCUUUUGCUUUGUUUUAUUUUAUUUGGGCUUAUGUUCUUAACUGUUUGUAAAAUAUUGGCUAGCCUUUUUGGCUUUGUAAUAUUGUCUGGUGAAAUAAAACACAGUUGAGUAACAAAAAAAAAGGUUUCACGGA
Camelina sativa (false flax) is the source of this 855-nucleotide long non-coding RNA. RefSeq lists it as uncharacterized. NCBI's taxonomy places the organism in Eukaryota, Viridiplantae, Streptophyta, Magnoliopsida, Brassicales, Brassicaceae. The record is from RefSeq and is a predicted model, not a curated record.